UAUAAGUCAAUUAUAAUCCGAUACAUUUUAGACAAUAAUAUAUUGGCUGUCAAUUCGAUGGUUGAAGACAAGAAAAAAGAAAAGAAUUUCUUAAGAUAAAAGUCAGUAAGAAUGCUAAUCUUGAUGGAAGGAAAUUGAUAGUGCGGAGCAAUCAGGUAAACCAUUUUCUAAUAUUUGAUUUCUAUACACAAAAUAUCCACCAAUUAUAAAAGUAAGUUGAAUCAUAUUCGUUUCAUUAUUUCAUAUACCAUAAUUUUGUCUAUAUAUUCAACAUAGACAAUAGGUUCACACAAACCAAUAUUUUCACAUGAAUAAUCAAUAUUUGAUUAUUUAAAUAAAAUAACAAUAAAAUUGACUAUAAACUCAAAUACAAAUAUUUAUUUGAAAAAAUUAUUUUUUGAUUUUA
Long non-coding RNA from Episyrphus balteatus (marmalade hoverfly), 406 nucleotides. RefSeq lists it as uncharacterized. The record is from RefSeq and is a predicted model, not a curated record. The transcript is spliced from 3 exons. NCBI's taxonomy places the organism in Eukaryota, Metazoa, Arthropoda, Insecta, Diptera, Syrphidae.